GCGGCCGGCACCCCAUCCACGGCUGCGCGCGGUGCCCAGACGGCGUUCGCACAAGGCUGAGCUCCACGCACGACCAGCUGGCGGCUCAUGGCCCCAAGUUGCCUACCGCCGGCGUUGUGGCCUCUAGGUGCCUGUCGUUGGCCCAUAGCCCCGAGAUGCCUGCUGCUAGUGCUGUGGCCCCAAACAGCCUGCAACCCUCAUGGCCCCAAGCAGCUUGCCGCCGACAGGGCCGAUGCUGUGGCCUCCAUGGUGGAGCAGCAACAAAUCCAACCGCCACGAGCACGGAUCCGAGCACUGCACGUAUGGAUCCGGCCAAGAUGCUCCAAGAUCUGGUGAAAGGAGAGAGAGAUCGAUGGGAUCUUGAAAGAGAGGAUGGGAGCUGCGGGAGAUGGGAAGGUGAGAGGAGUGCUCGCAGGGGUGGCCGCUUGGCACCACCUGCUGGCCGCCGCCGCUGUGGUUGCCGUUGCCGGUGGCCAGCAGCAGCAGCAGCUAACACGGCCCUGGGAGGGAGGUGGUUCGGUGGCUAGCAGGCCGUCGUCGAGUCGCCUCGCAAGGAGAUGACGUGAGGAAGACGACCGGGUCGACUGCUACUGCCGUCUCUGUCCGCCUUCGGGAGAAAUUCCAGUGACCCGUCAGCAUUAGCCACAGAUGGUUUCGUCGAGUGGAAGGAUUGCGGUUCGAAAGCUUUGAAGAUUAAUAAUUUCAAGAGAGUAAAAGCUGAAGACAUUAAGAGCAACUAUUCUUUGGAGAAAGGCAAGUGUAUCCUUGUGCUUUUGUCCCAAUAACUUUAUUUAAUCACUAUUGCAUAUGCUUUGCAUUUAAUUUGAUGGAUCCUAUUAAGAUUUGCCUAGUUUUGUGAUCAUUCCUUGUUAAACUGGGUUUUACCUUUAUGUUGGGUAGCACUGCUUAGUUGCUAUAUUUAGGUUAUGGUGGUUCUAAUGAACAAUGAUGAUAAACUUGUUUUAUUUAUGCUAUACCUCUAUUUAACUACAAGAUCACUCUAUUUAAUUGGAACAUGGAGAACCACCCAGAAAAACAGUGCAACCGUGAGAACCAUACCAUGGUUUUGGCUAAUUAAUUAGAUGAUUCUAAUGUUGUGUGGGUAAAACCGAUGCUAGUUGGAGGGGAACUCCCUAGUACUACUGGUUGGAGGGCAACUCCCCAGUACUUGCUUCUGGUUGGAGGGUUACUUCCCAUGAGUUGUGGUCAGGGGGUUACGCUCCGACGGUAAAUCUAAUACAUAUUAGGUGAAUCUAAGGUCUCGUAGCGUCCCUAUGCGGUUGCACCUUGAUAGUAUGAUGAUUACCUGAUCAACAUGAUAUUGUUGGGUCUAAAGUUCUUCUGAACUUUUACGUGACGUGUGGUGAAAGUGUACAGCCUCUGCAGAGUGUCUAAAACUGAUCGAUCAGCCAUGUUCAUGGUCCAGAGCGGCCUGGACCCUCACAUGAUAAUUGAACUUGAAGAUGGAUUUAAAUCGUGUUUUAUAUUAUGGUUAUAUUUUUGCCAUAUGUUUAUGACUUAUGCUUAUGUUAAUUGUGGGUUGGUAUAAACUUAUACCUUAGUAAUUAGGUGCUAAUAAAAUUUGACCAACUAAAACGGCUUAUUGCAGUAAACCUGUAAGACUCUCCUUGUUUAAACCUUGCAUUCAUAUUUUUCUCCACACUUGCUGAGUACGACAUGUGCUCACACUUGCUAUAAUCAAUGUUGCUUAGAAGAAGAAGCUGCUAUGAAGUUGUUUGAAGAUGGUACUGAGUUCUAGGCGUACGCAACCCCGGUCAAUUGUCUAUGAAGUUUGGAGCAUUCGUUUACAGGAUUAAACUGUUUCACAACAAUGUACAUGGAGUAUUAUUGGUCCUCCUACUAGCUCCGCUCUUGCCUGCAGUCCACAACUAUUUGAUCUCAUCCAGAUUAGAACUUUGGCAUAACUCCACCAGUUUUAGCCCAUUGCAGACUGAGCCGCAAGAAAAGCCUCGUACCUUGAGUGAUUCCUCUGGGGUUUGGAUUAAGGGAUCAAGUGACAAAUCAUCUUCUUAGUCAUCACAUCUUUUUUUUUAAAUAUGGUGGAUUAACCUAUCACCACUUAAAAUGAUCGGGAUAAACUAAAAGAGAUGACAUGAUAUAUAUGAUUUUCUUAAAAACCAGUUACUCCUUCACCUAUAAUUCCAA
This is a long non-coding RNA of Setaria italica (foxtail millet), 2166 nucleotides long. RefSeq lists it as uncharacterized. The record is from RefSeq and is a predicted model, not a curated record. Lineage: Eukaryota; Viridiplantae; Streptophyta; Magnoliopsida; Poales; Poaceae. The transcript has 3 exons.